This 3124-nucleotide long non-coding RNA is filed under the name Mytilus galloprovincialis (Mediterranean mussel). The record is from RNAcentral. Lineage: Eukaryota; Metazoa; Mollusca; Bivalvia; Mytilida; Mytilidae.
GUUUGGUAUAUUAAAUGCAAAUAUUACAGAUUUGUACAUAGCAACCAAAUAUAAGAAAACCAGACUCAGUACGAAUAUUGAAGUUUUUUCAUCUUUUUGCGACGUCAUGAUAUUUUUAUUCAAUCUCUCAUAUAUUUUGAACCACAAGUUGCUCAUGAAAAGUGUAGAUUUUUUCUACUUUGGCCUUUACUACUGAUCAGUUGGUACUUUUUAUAGUCAAUUUUAUUUUAUCUGCCAAUGACAUCAAUGAUAUUUUCUUUUACAACCUUAAACUGUAGAUUUAAAGUUAUCAAAUAUACAGAAAGCUCUGUUAAUUUCUUAAUGUGCCCAUCCCAUGUCAAGGGCCUGUGAUUUUAUUAUUUUUUAUUGAUUUAGGUCCUUCAUAUUUGUUUUUAGUAAAUUGUAUUGUUACUGCAUGUACUAAUUAAGUCGUUAGAUUUCUUGUUAGAAUUGUUCACCUUUUUUCAUAUCGGGACUUUUUAUAGCUUACUAUAUGGUAUGAGAUUUUCUUAUUGUUGACGACUGUAUGGUGACCUAUAAUUGUUUAUAUAUCUUCCUCCUUUGAACUCUUUUGGAUAGCUCUGGUUCAUUCGCAAAAAAUACCAAAUCUCUUUAAGCCGACUUGUUUCCCGAAAUCUCUCGUUUACGUUCAUGUACUGAAUGCUCAUUUACUACGUGACACGAUAAGUUGUCAAUCAAAACAAAAAUUCAAUAAUCCCCUAUCAGGGCAAUGAAAUCUCAACAGAUCGAUCAGUUUCCAGUCCCGUUAGUAUACAUGUAAAGUCCCAGUUCAAACUAAAGAGUACAUCACACUGGUGGAUCCAGAUAUUUUCAUAAGGGGGGACCCACUGACUGACCUAAAAGAGGGCCCUCUCCAGUCAUGCAUCAGUGAUUCCCAAUACAAUCAACCAAAUUUUUCCCACAAAAGGGGGGGGGCCUAACCUGGAUCCGCCUAUGUCAUCAUUAAGGGGAGACACUCAUAAAGAUCAGCUGUUUGAAAUAACUACAUAUCACAGGCACUGUCUUGUUACCAUGUACCUCGGGGGGUUUACUAUCCACACUCGUAAGAAAGUGCCCCGCCGAAGUGGAUAGAAACCCCCAUUUGACAGAAACAAGUGGCGAAGUGCCUGUGCUACAUAUAUGACAACCUGAGAUUUGCUCACAGGCACUUGUUUCUAUCCAUUGGAAGGUCGACUAUCUAUAUAAAUAGAAGCUUCUAUUUAUAUGGAUAGUCGACCUUCCAAUGGAAAGAAACAAGUGCCUGUGGAUUUGCUGUCCGGCUGUGGGACCAAUAUUUUCAAAAUGCACGUCUUAUUUUAACAAUAUAAUAACAUACUUCCUUGUGUAGUCACAAAACCUUGAAUACAUCUUGGUGUAUGUUUGACCAAAACCGUCUGGUAUUGUCAUUUCUUCAAUGAUCUUCAAUCGUAACUGGAAAAAUAUUUUGACAUGAAGCGGGAAACUACUGCACAUAAUAUCCAAAUCGUUUCAGGAAUUGUUUCCGGAAAUUUUUAUCACAAGCCUUUGAUAAACACAUUUUUCAUGUUUCUCACGAUUUAUUAUAUUAUGAUAUUUUAACACAAAAUCGUUAAAAAAUGUCUCUUCGCACCUAAAUCUUGAAUUGAAUGCUCUAUAGUAUAAUAUGUUAAACAGCUGAUAUUCAAAAUAACUUUUUAUGGGGGGACCUAAAUUGUCGUCCUGAAUUUUUUUUUUGCAAGUGUCUCAUCCCGCCUUUUUUCAGUUUUACUCAAAACUCCUGUCCUGCCUAUUUUUUUCAAAUUUCAUCCUAGCCCCCACCCCCCCUCCCCAUAAAAAUCAAAUGGUAGCUCCCUACUAUGAUCAUAUGACAAGUCUUCUUGAAAGUAUGAAUUUUGUGCCUGACAUCUGACCAGGAAAAAUGAAAAAUGUAGCCUGACCAAAACAUUAUUUGCAGAAAUGAAGAUCACAUAGAAAAAAUGAAGAAAAAAAAAGUGUCUGACAUUUAUAUUCGUCAAUCGGCAAUAAUUUAUACAAAUAAGUUCUGAAGCCGUAGUAUGGUUCACAGCGAGACACUGACUCUCCACCAGAGACCAAAAUGACCAACUGGGAUUGCUUUAACACUGUUCAAGUUUAUAGAGUAAUCUCAGAUAUGACGCAGAAGUUACGGAAUUCGAAACUAUAGGUCACCGUACGGCCUUCAAUGAUAAGCAAAACCUACACCGCACAGUAAGCUAUAAAAGGCCCAGAAUUGACUAAUGUAAAACUGUUAUAACGAGAAAACUAACGGUGGGCCUGAUGUGGUAUGUUCAAAACAACUUAAUAAACGAAAAACAAAUAUGAUAUACAACUGUAAAAUAAUAAUUAUUUUGGUUUUAAUUUAUUGAUAACAAAAUCAAUAUUUAUACCGAUUUAAAUAUAUAUAUAUAUUCCGUUUUCUGGAAUUAUGCCCCCCCCCCUUUCAAAAAUCAUGGAUCCGCCCUUCAGUCUUGUAUAUUGACCGUUCCAUACGGUCUUAUAUAUAUGUUAAACAGCUGAUCCUUGAAAAAUCAAAUUUAAUGCUGCAUAGAAACGUUUUGUCCGAAGAUAUUGUGGGGGUGAGCAACUCAAACAGACAUAAUAGGUUAAUAACUUUGCAUCAUGAACAAAAGAUAAACCAAAUGUUUUGUCUUUACCCAUGAAUGACAUUUGAACGAUUCUUAUAAUAAGAAACCGUUCUACCGUCAAGUGAAAAAUCGAGCGCUUGAAUCUAUUAUGAUGUUAUUCGUUGCAAUUUAAGAAAUAGCUUGCAAAAUUUGGCUAUGUAACACUUUAAAAUGCUUUUACGUAACACUCUGCCGGCAGUUUUCAUAAACAACAAAAUUCUACAAAGGGUAAGGUACAGUAAAUGAGCUACGUCACAGAUUUUGGUUACAUUUUGCAUACAAUUUUGGCUGGUUGAACUAUAAACGUAAUGCAUUUGUCUGUUUAAUUUUCUGAAAUAUUACUAAAGUGAUCCUUUCAACAAAAAAAAAGAAACCACAUUAAAUAGCGAAAACUUUCUUCAAUUUGUAUAAAAUCAAUCAAAUCACCAAUCACCAAUAUAUAGAUUUUUUUUUAAAAUUUGUAUAUUGAUGAAACAUAAAUUUCCGUUUUAAUGAUGUCAAAC